Sorex fumeus (smoky shrew) is the source of this 136-nucleotide small nucleolar RNA. RefSeq annotates it as U8 small nucleolar RNA. The transcript has a single exon. The record is from RefSeq and is a predicted model, not a curated record. Lineage: Eukaryota; Metazoa; Chordata; Mammalia; Eulipotyphla; Soricidae.
UCGUCAGGUAGGUUAACCCUUACCUUACCUAUUCCUCCAUUCAGGGGGCAGAUAGUACAUCAUGAUUGGAGUCCACAUGAUUCGUGAUUAACGUCUCUGCAUGAUUAGGCUCUUAGUACCCUAGUCACUAUCUGAU